Dicentrarchus labrax (European seabass) is the source of this 892-nucleotide long non-coding RNA. RefSeq lists it as uncharacterized. The record is from RefSeq and is a predicted model, not a curated record. The transcript has 3 exons. Lineage: Eukaryota; Metazoa; Chordata; Actinopteri; Moronidae.
UGCUGGCCUUAUCAGUCUUGUCAGCCUGGCCAGGAGAGAGCUGUUCUCUCUUUUUGUCUACUUAUCAGCAAGGUUGACGUUACAGAAUGUACUUGGUUUGGGGUGGAGGCAGGCGAUGUGGCAGUGACUGUGGGUGACUUUAAAGGACUUAAUGGCAUCUAGCGGCAUAGUUGUAGUUACACCUUCGCAUCAUCCGCCAUUCCAAGCAUGUAGGAGAAGUCCCAUUCAAAGCACAUUACUUUGCUUUGGUUUUGUUUCGGUUAGUCUUCUACAAUCUUGCCUGGUAGAAUUCUGGUGAACUAACUCAUCAGCAGAGGAUUGAGUUGGCAAAAACGGCAAGGAGGAAACAACCCCAAAGCUUCCACAGCAGAGGCUUAUACCAGUUAAUUCCCCAGCACUGUGUACCCAGGGGCGUCCAUUCAGGGGGUUAAACGGAGGAUGAAGAAGAGGAGCUUUAAACUCUUCAUCCCUGCAAUCAUCGAGCAGAUACCGGACUCCAUCGUCACCAUGCCCGGCUUCCAGACGGUUCGAGCCGACAGGGACACCACCGCGACCGGCAUGAAGAAAGGAGGGGGACUGUCCGUGCUCAUAAACAACAGGUGGUGUAACGCCGGGCACGUCUGUGUGAAAGAGCGUCUGCAGCCCGGACAUCGAGCUCGUCGCCGUCGGACUUCGUCCAUGUUGUCUGCCACGGGAACUUUCCAGUGUUGUCGCCAUCACUGUCUAUAUUCCUCACAGUGGUCUUCAUCAUCACUGUCUAUAUUCCUCACAGUGGUCUUCAUCAUCACCAUCACUGUUUACAUUUAUGAUGUCCUAUUUAUUCUCCUGUACAGCACUUUGGUCAACUUUGGUUGUUUUUAAAGUGCUUAACAAAUAAAGUUGGAUUGGAUUG